This is a long non-coding RNA of Musa acuminata AAA Group (dessert banana), 441 nucleotides long. RefSeq lists it as uncharacterized. The record is from RefSeq and is a predicted model, not a curated record. The transcript has 2 exons. NCBI's taxonomy places the organism in Eukaryota, Viridiplantae, Streptophyta, Magnoliopsida, Zingiberales, Musaceae.
GUGAGAAGGAUGAUGUUUCUAAUGCCGAUAAGACUCUUGCAACCGAAAAGCAGCUAGAACACAAAAAAACCACCAACAGAUAUGAGCAAGGGCAAUAAGUAGGGUGUGCCUCCUGAGACAGAAGAAAAGGAGGAUAAGGGGAUGACUAUGGAAGAGUACGAGAAGACAAGGGAGGAGAAAAGAAAGUCUUUACUUGCAAUAAAAGUCAGAAAGGAAGGUUGAAAUUGACAAAGAUUUGCGGUCUAUGCAGUAAACCUUCAACCAAGAAAGGAAAGCCAUGCUGUGUUCGUAUAUGCUAUGUUUUGUUUGUCGUAUUGCUACUAAGGUACAUUACUAAUUUUAUGAUUUAUUUUUUUUUGCAAAGGAUAAAUCUUGAUCCUAUAUCAUAGGAUGAUUUGAUAAAGUUUUUAUUAAUCAAACUAGCUAGCAUGUUCAUUUUUA